Molecule: small RNA, 364 nt
Filed under: Acidobacteriota bacterium
Lineage: Bacteria; Pseudomonadati; Acidobacteriota
Description: transfer-messenger RNA
Rfam family: transfer-messenger RNA
About the family: Bacterial tmRNA, also known as 10Sa RNA or SsrA, is named for its dual tRNA and mRNA-like properties.
Source: RNAcentral
GGGGACGACAGGCUUCGACGAGGUCGGUUCGUGGGGAUGGUUGCGAGUCGAGGUUCCGGGUGGCCUCGUAAAACCCCCGGAAAACAAUAAGUGCGAGCUCUCAUGAGCACGCCCUCGCCGCUUAGCUAGAACCUAAGCGCGAGGUCUCGGCCCCCGUUCGCCUGUGACGGGGAUGACCGGGAUCAGAAAGCAGGCUGACCCGCGGAGGACCGCCUCCGCCGAAGCGGGGACAUCUCAGGAGGCUGGCUCCCCACAACCCGGCCGGCGAGGCUAGCGGGGGGCGAGACCAGAUCGCCGGCUACGCUCGUAGACGCCAUCUUUCACGCGACCCCGGACGCGGGUUCGACUCCCGCCGUCUCCAUCA